This 252-nucleotide ribosomal RNA is filed under the name uncultured bacterium. RNAcentral's name for it is "partial 16S ribosomal RNA". It matches the Rfam family "Bacterial small subunit ribosomal RNA", at positions 526 to 779 of the family's 1533-position model. The record is from RNAcentral.
CGUAGGUGGCGAGCGUUAUCCGGAAUUAUUGGGCGUAAAGAGGGAGCAGGCGGCACUAAGGGUCUGUGGUGAAAGAUCGAAGCUUAACUUCGGUAAGCCAUGGAAACCGUAGAGCUAGAGUGUGUGAGAGGAUCGUGGAAUUCCAUGUGUAGCGGUGAAAUGCGUAGAUAUAUGGAGGAACACCAGUGGCGAAGGCGACGAUCUGGCGCAUAACUGACGCUCAGUCCCGAAAGCGUGGGAGCAAAUAGGAUU